UAAGGGGUAGCUUAUUUAAAGCAAAUUGUUUACAUUAAUUAGAAAGUAUUUUUACUUCUCUUAA
RNAcentral lists this transfer RNA (64 nucleotides) under Jacobiasca formosana. Its description in RNAcentral is "tRNA-Val". Lineage: Eukaryota; Metazoa; Arthropoda; Insecta; Hemiptera; Cicadellidae. The record is from RNAcentral.